This 406-nucleotide ribosomal RNA is filed under the name uncultured bacterium. RNAcentral describes it as "partial 16S ribosomal RNA". It matches the Rfam family "Bacterial small subunit ribosomal RNA", at positions 28 to 525 of the family's 1533-position model. The record is from RNAcentral.
GACGAACGCUGGCGGCGUGCCUAAUACAUGCAAGUAGAACGAGUGGCGGACGGGUGAGUAAUGUCUGGGAAACUGCCCGAUGGAGGGGGAUAACUUCUGGAAACGGUAGCUAAUACCGCAUACCAUCGGAUGUGCCCAGAUGGGAUUAGCUAUUAGGUGGGGUAACGGCUCACCUAGGCGACCAUCACUAGCUGGUCUGAGAGGAUUACCAGCCACACUGGAACUGAGACGCGGUACAGACUCCUACGGGAUGCAGCAGUGGGGAAUAUUGCACAAUGGGCGCAAGCCUGAUGCAGCCAUGCCGCGUGUAUGAAGAAGGCCUUCGGGUUGUAAAGUACUUUCAGCGGGGAGGCGUUACUCGCAGAAGAAGCACCGGCUAACUCCGUGCCAGCAGCCGCGGUAAUUA